RNAcentral lists this ribosomal RNA (492 nucleotides) under uncultured bacterium. Its description in RNAcentral is "partial 16S ribosomal RNA". It matches the Rfam family "Bacterial small subunit ribosomal RNA", at positions 29 to 507 of the family's 1533-position model. The record is from RNAcentral.
AGCGAACGCUGGCGGUAGGCUUAACACAUGCAAGUCGAACGGAAGCACAGUAAGUGUUUGCUCUUAUGGGUGGCGGGUCGCGGAAGGGAGAGGAAAGUAACGGAAUCUACUCUUUGGUGGGGGAUAACGUAGGGAAACCUAAGACAAUACAGCAUACGCUCUAGGGUUGUGGGGGGGGGAUCUUUGCACCUUGCGCGAUUGAAUGAGCGGAUGUCGGAUUAGUUAGUUGGCGGGGUAAAGGCCAAGCAAGGCGACGAUCCGUAGCUGGUCGGAGUGGAUGGCCGGCCACACUGGAACGUGGCCGCGGUCCAUAGUCCUACGGUAGGCAGCAGUGUGGAAUAUGAGGCAACAGGCGCAAGCCUGGUCCAGUCAUACCGCGUCGGUGGAGAAGGCCUUCGGGUUGUAAAGACCUUCUGUUGGGAAAGAAAAGCAGCAGCUUAAUACCCCGCGGUUCUGACGGUACCCAAAGAAUAAGCACCGGCUAACUUCGUG